UACGAAGGGGGCUAGCGUUGUUCGGAAUUACUGGGCGUAAAGCGCACGUAGGCGGACAUUUAAGUCAGGGGUGAAAUCCCAGUGCUCAACUCUGGAACUGCCUUUGAUACUGGGUGUCUUGAGUAUGGAAGAGGUGAGUGGAAUUCCGAGUGUAGAGGUGAAAUUCGUAGAUAUUCGGAGGAACACCAGUGGCGAAGGCGGCUCACUGGUCCAUUACUGACGCUGAGGUGCGAAAGCGUGGGGAGCAAACAGG
RNAcentral lists this ribosomal RNA (253 nucleotides) under uncultured bacterium. Its description in RNAcentral is "partial 16S ribosomal RNA". It matches the Rfam family "Bacterial small subunit ribosomal RNA", at positions 524 to 776 of the family's 1533-position model. The record is from RNAcentral.